UUAUAGCCCUGAUAGAAGCGUAAAUCCUUUGCGGAGCAAAGAUUGCAGCGUAUAGCAGGAAAUGCC
This 66-nucleotide small RNA is filed under the name Flavobacterium croceum DSM 17960. RNAcentral's name for it is "Flavo-1 RNA". It matches the Rfam family "Flavo-1 RNA". Lineage: Bacteria; Pseudomonadati; Bacteroidota; Flavobacteriia; Flavobacteriales; Flavobacteriaceae. The record is from Rfam by way of RNAcentral.